Molecule: unclassified non-coding RNA, 253 nt
Filed under: fungal sp.
Lineage: Eukaryota; Fungi
Description: partial internal transcribed spacer region
Rfam family: Eukaryotic small subunit ribosomal RNA (bases 1-46)
Source: RNAcentral
AAGUCGUAACAAGGUUUCCGUAGGUGAACCUGCGGAAGGAUCAUUAACACGUAUGCUGCGUUUUAACAAAUCCCUCUCUCAACCCCUCUGUGAACUUUUUGCUCUUCUUGCGAAGAGCUAAUUUCAAAAUUAAAUCCUCGAUUGAAAGUUCGCUUUCAGUUGAGGUCGCUUCAAGCUUUCUGUUUUUGGUCGGCUUUCGAGUCGAACAAAGCAAAUACAAAAACAACUCUUAACAACGGAUAUCUUGGUUCUC